Molecule: long non-coding RNA, 513 nt
Organism: Andrographis paniculata
Lineage: Eukaryota; Viridiplantae; Streptophyta; Magnoliopsida; Lamiales; Acanthaceae
Exons: 3
Source: RefSeq, a predicted model, not a curated record
UUUUUGUCUUUUUCAGCUCGACCUAUCCAUGAUCUCUUCACCACAAUAGUAGAGCCGCCGCCAUCACCCCGCCAUAUCCUCCACCACUGCUGAUCAACCACUUUGGGGCACUCCAUGCCAUUGCCACUGUAAAAAAGAGGCAAAGAUGAUCUAUGGCGUUGGAAAAUAAAAAUCGAUCAUCAUCUCCAUCCGGCGAUGAAAAAAAACUCCUCUCCCAAACAAGGGAAUGCUAGCUAAUUCAUGUUCAAUUUCUGUGGAAUGGACAGACAAGUUUUGCAGUUGUCAAGAGUACUUUUGCCUAAAACAACAAAACUUCAUAUAUUUCUUGCAGUGCUUUCGGAUAUGCAGUGGAAUGAAAGGCCUUAUUUUUUGCUUCUAUCGUUUAUUGUAUAUCUGAGGUUUCUGUUAUCUUUACCUGAUUGAAAUUUGUUGAUCUUUUGUAGGAAAUAGAUACCCUUUACAUGUAUGACAUUUUUCGAAAAUAGUGCAAGGUUCAUUCCAAAACCACAUCAA